Cephus cinctus (wheat stem sawfly) is the source of this 1124-nucleotide long non-coding RNA. RefSeq lists it as uncharacterized. Lineage: Eukaryota; Metazoa; Arthropoda; Insecta; Hymenoptera; Cephidae. The record is from RefSeq and is a predicted model, not a curated record. The transcript has 4 exons.
CGCAAAAUUAUUACAGUUUUACUGGUAGUAGAAAUUCAUUCGUUACGCCAUUGGCGACGCUACAUAGUGGAGCCACCUACGAGCAAAUAGUAAAACUUGUAACUAAAGCAACCUGGCGCUGGGACUCAUCAAAGUCGCGAAGCAAUGCAGUGUGUGGUUUCUUUAGCCAUAACAAUCUCUGCGUUGUUUUAAUUUUCUUUAGUGUUAUUGUUCUGCCUAAAUAACUGUUUUGUUUGUAAUGAAAUGUGCGGUUUUAUGAGAGUUUUUCGUGAAAUAUCAAUGAACUACUGGCAUAUAUUGAAACUUGUAGCUAAAGCAACAUGGCGCUGGGACGCUUUAAAAUCGUAUAAUGACGCUGUGCGUGUUUUUCUUUAAUAUUUCCCUAUGCAGGGAAUGCUCGGUCAUUUCAGUUUUCUUUGCUGUAAUUCUUGUGCCUAAAUAAUUAUUGUGUGUGAAAAAUAUCGGUGUGUGCGGUUUUGUUUUUUUCGGUAAAUAUCAAGAAAUUACAUUCUUGCCUGGCGUGAUAGCUAUGAUGCAUUAAAUAAAGCUGUGAUAGCAUCAACGUAUUUGAAGCAUUCGUUUUCUGUGUUUCCGUCUUACGUAACUAAAAGGAGAGUCAUGAAUAUAGUUAAAAUGCAGUUUCAAGCAGACGUUUUUGUAAUCUCCAGUUCUGGCUUAAUAUUAAAGCCGGGCAGAAAAUUACAGCAGUGAAUGUGUCGAGGGACACGUGACAGAAGCCUCCGGCACUUAAAUGACACGGACGACUGGCUCUUAUCAUUACCAGCUGCAAACCAAUUCGCAAGCUCCUUCCGACGUCAUCGUAAGGGGUAUUUGCCCAAUUAGCGUUGUAAGCAGCAUCGGCAAUACCACCACUUUCAAUGAUGAUCUCGUGGCACGUUGACGUGAAUAACAGCAAUUGGGCGAAGCAACCCGAAGUGUGGGCGAUAAAUAUAAGACGUCUGAUUAUGGAACCAUGAGUCUGUGUAAGGAAUCUUGUGCCAAUUUGCAUUGUACGCGCCGUCUGCCACUUCCAGACUUCGCAUGAUGACUUGAUGACAGACCCAGGAGAACAAAAAGAAUUGGCAAUUUAUUGCGAGAAAAUAUUCGCAACAUAGCAGCUUUCU